UACGUAGGUCCCGAGCGUUGUCCGGAUUUAUUGGGCGUAAAGCGAGCGCAGGUGGUUUAAUAAGUCUGAUGUAAAAGGCGGUGGCUCAACCAUUGUGUGCAUUGGAAACUGUUAGACUUGAGUGCAGUAGAGGAGAGUGGAAUUCCAUGUGUAGCGGUGAAAUGCGUAGAUAUAUGGAGGAACACCGGUGGCGAAAGCGGCUCUCUGGACUGUCACUGACACUGAGGCUCGAAAGCGUGGGUAGCAAACAGG
Molecule: ribosomal RNA, 252 nt
Filed under: uncultured microorganism
Description: partial 16S ribosomal RNA
Rfam family: Bacterial small subunit ribosomal RNA
Source: RNAcentral